RNAcentral lists this unclassified non-coding RNA (444 nucleotides) under Hevea brasiliensis (rubber tree). Lineage: Eukaryota; Viridiplantae; Streptophyta; Magnoliopsida; Malpighiales; Euphorbiaceae. The record is from RNAcentral.
UAUGCUGUUCUUCAGAGUUGGGUUUCGAAGAAGUUCAUGACUGGAUGUGUGGUUCUCUUUCCUGUAGCUGUUACCUUUUUAGUUACUUGGUGUUUUAUCCAGUUUGUUGAUGGUUUCUUCAGCCCAAUUUAUGCUAAACUUGGCAUAGACAUAUUUGGACUUGGGUUUGUUACUUCACUGCUUUUUAUAUUCUUUGUUGGAAUAUUUGCUUCAUCAUGGAUGGGUGCCACAGUUUUCUGGCUUGGAGAAUGGUUUAUUAAGCGAAUGCCAUUUAUGAAGCACAUAUACUCAGCCUCCAAACAAAUUAGUGCUGCUAUUUCUCCAGACCAAAACACUACUGCUUUUAAAGAGGUUGCAAUUAUUCGUCAUCCUCGCCAUGGGGAAUAUGCAUUUGGUUUCAUCACAUCUUCUGUUGUCCUUCAGAGAGAAGAUGGAGAUGAAGAG